AAAGUUAUUGAAUUCUAGUAUUACUAAAAUUUAAUUAACAUGUAAUUAACACACAAUUAACAUGAAAUGGGCCCUGAUGACUUGUUAGGGCAAAGCCCAAUGGUAGGGGGUGUAUGUGGAUUAGUGAAGUGCAGGCUCCAAGAGGGAAAUGAACGGGCCUAGAGGCCCAUAGUCCACGCGUGAUACUCUGGAGAGGGAUAACGAUACCAAGUACCCUCACACACGUAAAGUUCAUCACACUGACGGCGGAAUCGACGACGAACGGCGGUGGAAAUGGCGGCGCAAGGACGACACAGCGAGUCCCAAAUCUCAGUGCUGAAACGACAUCGAUAUCUCCGUCUCUGGACGUGCAAAGCUUGACCUUCUCCAAAUCGUGGCGCAUCAAGCGAAGCAUCACCAAUUCGCAACUCAAAACCAUCGUCGAACCUACCUCCUUGCUUCACCAGUUUAAACAGCAAAAUCUAAAUGUUGAGGUUGAAACGAAAAACUCAAAAAACAGGUAUCGCAUAUUUCCGCUCUGAUUUUCGCUCGAUCCUUCUUCCUGAGCUCUUCUGAGAAGGCUUUGCAUUGUUGUUGUUCGAUGCGUUCUUUUGGUAUUGAAUCAAGAUGAAGCACGUCACAUCGAGCUGCCAAAUCGUGAUGAUUAACGAAUCAAGAUGACGAUGACGAGUUUGAUUUCGUGGAGGAUCGAAUGAACUCGUUUCCGACUCAAGGUUCCGGCUCAGAAUCGGAAGUCGAAUUCAAAGCGUUAUUUUUACGAGUGAAACAGAAGCUAUUGGAGAAUGAAGAAUGUACCAUAUUCGAUGCCAAUUCCAGGCUAUGGAGGAUGGCAAUCAAAGAUGUUGAUGAGAGAGUGGCAGGUUGUGGAUCUCCCUCGGUUUUGGUUUCUGUUAUGCAAAGUUUGUUGAAGGAUUGAUUGGAGAGUGGUGAAGGUGGAUCUCUCUCGAUUUUCAUAGGCUAUGGAAAUUGCGAUUUCAAUUUCGUCCGCUUGAAGUUAUCCGGAUUCACUGAGUGAAAUAAGCAUGGAUUUGAAUAUGGAGUAGAAUAAUGAGAGAAUGUGUGUUGAUGUGGAUUCGUUUGUGUGCUCGCCUUAGAAUCUUGAUUUGAGAAGGUGAGAAGAAGAGAGUGUGUGGAGACGUCGAACAAGCUUGCUGAAGUGUUAUUGGUUGCACGAUUCGACCUGGAUUUGGUAUGGAUGCAUAGACCAAAACCUGAACUCAGUUUUUGAACCGCUUGCUUAGUUUUCUUUUUUCAUGUGAUUAAUCGUAAUCAAUAGAAAUAAUUAUGAUUAAUAGGUUAAUUGUGACUAAAUCCUUUGGUCAACCAAAUCCAUUGUAUUGUGAUGUAAUUCCCCAAGCCUAAUCAAGUGAUCAAAAGACCAUUGAUCACUUGACAGGGAAAGUCCAUUAUGCUCAAGCUGUAUGGGAUAUGCUGAAUCUCUAGAGUUUAAGACCUCAAGGUUCAAAGUCAACAUCAAUCAAGCAUAGCUGACAAAGUGGACUACUUCUCAAGCACAACAAAGGUCAUCACUUGUCAAUCAUAAUUCAGAUUGUGUGGCACGAGCCUUAAGAAAUAGAGAAUGAAUGAGAUUGGAAAAUUCCAUUAAAUCAUUAUGAAUAUCUUUGGUAUGGGACGAAUGACCUAGGUUCCCAUUGUAUUCACCUCUAUACAUAUACUUUAGCACAAUUCAAAUUAUAUGAUUGUAAAGUCUUCUUCUACAUCAAGAUCAACACUCAGGAUCUCUUAUGAGCAUGGAAACCAAGGAAAAGUGAUAUUUGGUCUCAAAAAGAUGGUAUUGAUUGAUGAAUGAAGAAUGAUUGAUUAAUAAAUAGGGUAGCUCGCGAAGAAUCUGAAUUCUCCUGCCUACGUAUCCUUAUAGUGCAAUAAGGAAAUCAUAACUUUCGUAGUUCAGCCUACUAGGGUGAAAACAAGGUGAUUGGUGGGGCAAAAGAAAUGAAUGAUUGAAAUGAAGGAAGGAUUAAUAAAUAAGGUAACUUACGAAGAAUUUGAAUUCUCCUGCCUACGUAUCCUUAUAGUGCAAUAAGGAAAUUAGAGCUUUCGUAGUUCAGCCCACUAUGGUUGAAAGCAAAAAUGAUUAAGGAGGCAAGAGGAGAUAAUAGAAUGAUUGGAUGAAAGAGCGGAAUAGACCUGAUAGUUAUUGGAUAAGAACCACACUAAAGUCUAUGAGUAAAGGUGGAUACGAUAAGCAACGGGACAAACGUCCCGCACCCAAAGAUAUCCAGAAUGAGUGUAGGAAAGCUCCAGUCUCAUUCCUUCUUUACUACUUAAGGCUCGUGGCAUGUAAUUCUCACCUUAACUUUCAAGUUGCUAGAGAAGAAUCUUUGUUGUUGUUUCUUGUAAUGAUGAAGUGAGAGGGACUUGACAGUUGAUUGAUGAGAAUCACACUAAAGUCUAUGAAUAAGGGCGAAUGCUUUGAAUAGAUAUGGCCUAUGUACCGUAUGCAAAGUCACUCUAAACAAGGAUAGGAGAACCUCUGUCUCAGCAUUCCUUUUUACUUAAGGCUCAUGGCGCAUGAUACUUCUCAUAAAUGACAAGUUAUUGGAGAAGGAUCUUCAUUGUUGCUCCUUGUGUUAAUACUGUUUUCUGUGAAGAAAACUUGGUAGUUUAUUCGAUUAUUAUUGCAUUAAAGUAUAUGAAUAAUGGAAAAUGCUUUGAAUAGCUAGGGCCUAUGCCCCGUACGCAAAGUCUCUUUAGAAAAGGAUAAAAGAAACUCUGUCUCAUCAUUCUCUAUUACUUAAGGCUCGUAUCGUACAAUUUGAAUCGAAUUCAUCAAGUGUUAACCUUUGAUUUAUCUUGUAUAACCCGCUGCUUGAUGUGACUGAGGAUGCCUUGAUUGAAGAUCUGUUUUGAAGUCUCGAGCUCCACAGCUUACAGAAAAAAGUCUUAGUAAGUGACCAAGGUUCUUUUGGUGACUCAAUCUAGAUUAUGGGUUAUACAAGUUCAAAGGAUUUAAUCGAUCAAAAUUACUUAGGGUUGAUUUGAAUCGGAGAGUUUUGAAUUGAUUUAAGAAACUAUGUUAAUCCUAAUCUAAAGGCUAUAAUUGAGUUAAACUAUCCUAAAGGAUCAUAUUAAUAUGUGGUUCAAACUUGAUUAAAAUUCUAUGUACAAAUACUAAGGGAACAUGCAAUUGUAUGGUUUACAAUAGUAAAAUAAACCCUUAAGGGGACAAACGGGUAUUUCACAAAGGUAUUGAAAUUGAAUUAAAUUCUACUUAUGAAAAUCAAUUAAAAUCACUUAAAUCCUAAACAAUUCUAAUUUUAGAAAUUAAUCUAAAUUCUAAUUGAACCUAAUUAAUUCUAAUCAAAACUAAUUCUACAUUCUAAUUAAAAAUUAAACUAAUUCCAAAUUCUAAGUCCCCUAACUUCUAUGAAAAAUUUCUAAAGCCUAAUUAAUCAAAAUUUAUAAUUCCCUAAUUACUAAACCCUAAUCCUAAUUAUUGAUCCUAACUUCUAAUUAAUAAUGGCUAAAAAACCCUAAUUGCAUACUAAACCCAAUCACAAACCAGAAUUGGGCUGAACAGAAACGGAGAGGAGAUUUGGCCCAUUCUGGGGAUGCUGGGAAGAAAGUCUAGGGGCCCAUAAGCCCAAAUCCGUUCGGUGAUAGAGGUUCCAAAAAAGAAGAAAAAAAUGUUUCGGGUUUAGGCCCAAACCCUAAACGACUACGCCCGGCCUUCAUGAUGCCUCACAAAACUCAUGGCCACGAGAACAAGUUAGAAAUCAUGAACUUAGUUAGAACCUCUUGUUAUAGUUAGUGAAUUGCUAUGUUAAUUUCAAUUUAGUUAAUUGCAAGUUGUUGGUUUCUGUUAAAAGAAAACAAUUAGGAUAGUUAUGAAAUUGUGAUGUUAAUCAUUUUCAGCAUUUUAAUUUAUUAUAAAUUGUUAGCAACAGUUCGUUUAACAUAACCAAGUAGAUGAAAAAAAAUGGUAUUGCUUCACUUGGUUCUUUGUUAACUUAUGGUAUAUUAAUUGUUGUUUGAAGUGCAGUUAGUUGAUUGGAGAACUUUUGGAGGCGGGACUGCCGCUUUGAUCAUGUUGUUGAUGUUGGUCAUUGGCUAAAAGUCGAGUUUUGAAACUAAUUUGCCAUUGGCUGCAACUAUUAUUAGUUAUCUGCUGUACUACUGGUCUGUUGUCCUAUGAUUGUUAUUCCAUUAGGUCAGUUAGUGGUAAUCAACCUUGCCUUAGCUUGUGAAACACCUGUCACCAAAAUUCUAAUAUGCAAUAGCUAGCCUAAAUUGAACUGUUAUGGAUAUUUUGCAGUUGAAUCAGCAUACUAUACUGCAGGUCAUUGUGCAUCAAUGGAAAUGAUUGGUUUUGCAGGUGUGGAUGUUCUGAAUCUGCAGCAAGGCAAUGUUGUACAUCUCCAAUCUGCCUCAGUUCAAACUCUGCUUAGCUUGUUAUGAAUUCUGCUAUCAGUUAGGAAGAGAGUUUGGUUGAUAUGCAACUGUAUUGGGACAACUUAAUGUUUUUCUAUUAAAAAUUAGUUAAGUUCUGUUAGGAAACUGUUAGUUGGAAACUUUGAUGAACUGAAGUGAAAUUCUCAUUUUUGGUUUUUUGAUGAUUUUAUCAAGCGAUGUUAGUUGGAAUGACCAUCCUUAAUUUUUAAGUUCUUUUCCUUUUGAUGGGGGUUUCCAAUUUGGCAUGAAUAUGGGAACUGGUGACAUGGUCGAAACGAUUUGGAUUGAUUUAUGGUAUGCUAGAUGUAUGACUUUGGUGUCUUGAAUGUGCACAUCAAAAAGAAUUCAUGGCUUUCUUAUGUUUCCUUUGUUUUGUAGGCAUUGAAUUGUGUUGGACAUGUUGAUCAUGUGGAAUUGGAUGCAAGGCCAUGAAGUGUAGAUUGGAAAAGCUUCCUUAGACAUGUCAUUAUUGUAAUCCUUGUUGUAACAUGAAAUGAAAUAUGUGAAUUGAAAAUGGAUGUAAUUGGACAUGAAAAUGUAUGUUGAAAAUGAGUUUGGAAAUAUAUUAUUAAAUAUUAUGAAA
Molecule: long non-coding RNA, 4996 nt
Organism: Lathyrus oleraceus (garden pea)
Lineage: Eukaryota; Viridiplantae; Streptophyta; Magnoliopsida; Fabales; Fabaceae
Exons: 2
Source: RefSeq, a predicted model, not a curated record